Molecule: ribosomal RNA, 305 nt
Filed under: uncultured bacterium
Lineage: Bacteria
Description: bacterial SSU rRNA
Rfam family: Bacterial small subunit ribosomal RNA
Source: RNAcentral
CCUACGGGGGGCAGCAGUGGGGAAUAUUGCACAAUGGGGGAAACCCUGAUGCAGCAACGCCGCGUGGGUGAAGGAGCGUUUCGGCGCGUAAAGCCCUGUCAGCGGGGAAGAAGAAAGACGGUACCCGACCAAGAAGCCCCGGCUAACUACGUGCCAGCAGCCGCGGUAAUACGUAGGGGGCGAGCGUUAUCCGGAAUUACUGGGUGUAAAGGGAGCGUAGACGGCGAGGUAAGCCUGAAGUGGAAGCCCGCGGCCCAACCGCGGAACUGCUUUGGGAACUGUUUUGCUGGAGUAUGGGAGGGGUA